AGUGAACGCUGGCGGUAGGCCUAACACAUGCAAGUCGAACGGCAGCACAGUAAGAGCUUGCUCUUACGGGUGGCGAGUGGCGGACGGGUGAGGAAUACAUCGGAAUCUACUUUUUCGUGGGGGAUAACGUAGGGAAACUUACGCUAAUACCGCAUACGACCUACGGGUGAAAGCAGGGGAUCUUCGGACCUUGCGCGAUUGAAUGAGCCGAUGUCGGAUUAGCUAGUUGGCGGGGUAAGGGCCCACCAAGGCGACGAUCCGUAGCUGGUCUGAGAGGAUGAUCAGCCACACGGGAACUGAGACACGGUCCAGACUCUUACGGGAGGCAGCAGUGGGGAAUAUUGGACAAUGGGGGCAAGCCUGAUCCAGCCAUACCGCGUGGGUGAAGAAGGCCUUCGGGUUGUAAAGCCCUUUUGUUGGGAAAGAAAAGCAGCAGGUUAAUACCCCGCUGUUCUGACGGUACCCAAAGAAUAAGCACCGGCUAACUUCGUG
Molecule: ribosomal RNA, 492 nt
Filed under: uncultured bacterium
Lineage: Bacteria
Description: partial 16S ribosomal RNA
Rfam family: Bacterial small subunit ribosomal RNA
Source: RNAcentral